CACGUAGGGGACGAGCGUUGUCCGGAUUCAUUGGGCGUAAAGCGCGCGUAGGCGGCUCGGAAAGUCGGUCGUGAAAUGCCGGGGCUCAACCCCGGGACUGCGUCCGAUACUCUCGAGCUGGAGGCAGGUAGGGGAGAGCGGAACUCCUGGUGGAGCGGUGAAAUGCGUAGAUAUCAGGAGGAACACCGGUGGCGAAGGCGGCUCUCUGGUCCACAACUGACGCUGAGGUGCGAAAGCUAGGGGAGCAAACGGG
This 253-nucleotide ribosomal RNA is filed under the name uncultured bacterium. RNAcentral describes it as "partial 16S ribosomal RNA". It matches the Rfam family "Bacterial small subunit ribosomal RNA", at positions 524 to 776 of the family's 1533-position model. The record is from RNAcentral.